This 75-nucleotide transfer RNA is filed under the name uncultured Microbacteriaceae bacterium. RNAcentral describes it as "tRNA-Met". It matches the Rfam family "tRNA". From Rfam's summary of the family: Transfer RNA (tRNA) molecules are approximately 80 nucleotides in length. Their secondary structure includes four short double-helical elements and three loops (D, anti-codon, and T loops). Further hydrogen bonds mediate the characteristic L-shaped molecular structure. tRNAs have two regions of fundamental functional importance: the anti-codon, which is responsible for specific mRNA codon recognition, and the 3' end, to which the tRNAs corresponding amino acid is attached (by aminoacyl-tRNA synthetases). tRNAs cope with the degeneracy of the genetic code in two manners: having more than one tRNA (with a specific anti-codon) for a particular amino acid; and 'wobble' base-pairing, i.e. permitting non-standard base-pairing at the 3rd anti-codon position. The record is from RNAcentral. Lineage: Bacteria; Bacillati; Actinomycetota; Actinomycetes; Micrococcales; Microbacteriaceae. RNAcentral also lists the same sequence under 1 other name.
GGGGCGAUAGCUCAGCUGGUUAGAGCAGCGGACUCAUAAUCCGUCGGUCGCGGGUUCAAGCCCCGCUCGCCCUAC